RNAcentral lists this ribosomal RNA (460 nucleotides) under uncultured bacterium. RNAcentral's name for it is "partial 16S ribosomal RNA". It matches the Rfam family "Bacterial small subunit ribosomal RNA", at positions 338 to 795 of the family's 1533-position model. The record is from RNAcentral.
CCUACGUGAGGCAGCAGUGAGGAAUAUUGGUCAAUGGGCGCGAGCCUGAACCAGCCAAGUAGCGUGAAGGAUGACUGCCCUACGGGUUGUAAACUUCUUUUAUAAAGGAAUAAAGUGAGGCACGUGUGCCUUUUUGUAUGUACUUUACGAAUAAGGAUCGGCUAACUCCGUGCCAGCAGCCGCGGUAAUACGGAGGAUCCGAGCGUUAUCCGGAUUUAUUGGGUUUAAAGGGAGCGUAGAUGGGUUGUUAAGUCAGUUGUGAAAGUUUGCGGCUCAAACGUAAAAUUGCAAUUGAUACUGGCAGUCUUGAGUACAGUUGAGGUAGGUGGAAUUCGUGGUGUAGCGGUGAAAUGCUUAGAUAUCACGAAGAACUCCGAUUGCGAAGGCAGCUUACUAAACUGCCACUGACAUUGAUGCUCGAAAGUGUGGGUAUCAAACAGGAUUAGAUACCCUUGUAGUC